UGACCUAAACCCUCACCAGAGUAACAAUUGGAGGGCAAGUCUGGUGCCAGCAGCCGCGGUAAUUCCAGCUCCAAUAGCGUAUAUUAAACUUGUUGCAGUUAAAAAGCUCGUAGUUGAAUUUUUGCGUGGUGUUAAUAUUGACUGAUGUCGAGAUUGCACUUCGCUUUUGGGAUUUUUCCCUUUUUACUUUGAGAAAAUUAGAGUGUUUCAAGCAGACUUUUGUCUUGAAUACUUCAGCAUGGAAUAAUAGAGUAGGACUUUGGUUCUAUUUUGUUGGUUUGUGAACCUUAGUAAUGGUUAAUAGGAACGGUUGGGGGCAUUCGUAUUUAACUGUCAGAGGUGAAAUUCUUAGAUUUGUUAAAGACGAACUACUGCGAAAGCAUUUGCCAAGGACGUUUUCAUUAAUCAAGAACGAAAGUUAGGGGAUCGAAGACGAUCAGAUACCGU
Molecule: ribosomal RNA, 447 nt
Filed under: Babesia divergens
Lineage: Eukaryota; Apicomplexa; Aconoidasida; Piroplasmida; Babesiidae
Also listed under: 1 other name
Description: SSU rRNA
Rfam family: Eukaryotic small subunit ribosomal RNA
Source: RNAcentral